UCUCCGUAGGUGAACCUGCGGAGGGAUCAUUACUGAGUGAGGGCUCACGCCCGACCUCCAACCCUUUGUGAACACAACUUGUUGCUUCGGGGGCGACCCUGCCGUUUCGACGGCGAGCGCCCCCGAAGGUCUCCAAACACUGCAUCUUUGCGUCGGAGUUUAAAACAAAUUAAACAAAACUUUCAACAACGGAUCUCUUGGUUCUGGCAUCGAUGAAGAACGCAGC
Molecule: unclassified non-coding RNA, 226 nt
Filed under: uncultured fungus
Lineage: Eukaryota; Fungi
Description: sequence contains ITS1, 5.8S rRNA gene
Rfam family: 5.8S ribosomal RNA (bases 178-226)
Source: RNAcentral